CCAGACUCCUACGGGAGGCAGCAGUGGGGAAUAUUGCACAAUGGGGGAAACCCUGAUGCAGCGACGCCGCGUGAGUGAAGAAGUAUCUCGGUACGUAAAGCUCUAUCAGCAGGGAAGAAAAUGACGGUACCUGACUAAGAAGCCCCGGCUAACUACGUGCCAGCAGCCGCGGUAAUACGUAGGGGGCAAGCGUUAUCCGGAUUUACUGGGUGUAAAGGGAGCGUAGACGGCAGCACAAGUCUGGAGUGAAAUCCCGCGGCUCAACCGCGGAACUGCAUUUGAAACUGUUUUUCUUGAGUACCGGAGAGGUCAUCGGAAUUCCUUGUGUAGCGGUGAAAUGCGUAGAUAUAAGGAAGAACACCAGUGGCGAAGGCGGAUGACUGGACGGCAACUGACGGUGAGGCGCGAAAGCGUGGGUAGCGAACGGGAUUAGAUACCCCUGUA
Molecule: ribosomal RNA, 444 nt
Filed under: uncultured bacterium
Lineage: Bacteria
Description: bacterial SSU rRNA
Rfam family: Bacterial small subunit ribosomal RNA
Source: RNAcentral